RNAcentral lists this ribosomal RNA (484 nucleotides) under uncultured bacterium. Its description in RNAcentral is "partial 16S ribosomal RNA". It matches the Rfam family "Bacterial small subunit ribosomal RNA", at positions 30 to 507 of the family's 1533-position model. The record is from RNAcentral.
AUUGAACGCUGGCGGCAGGCCUAACACAUGCAAGUCGAGCGGAUGAAGGGAGCUUGCUCCUGGAUUCAGCGGCGGACGGGUGAGUAAUGCCUAGGAAUCUGCCUGGUAGUGGGGGAUAACGUCCGGAAACGGGCGCUAAUACCGCAUACGUCCUGAGGGAGAAAGUGGGGGAUCUUCGGACCUCACGCUAUCAGAUGAGCCUAGGUCGGAUUAGCUAGUUGGUAGGGUAAAGGCCUACCAAGGCGACAAUCCGUAACUGGUCUGAGAGGAUGAUCAGUCACACUGGAACUGAGACACGGUCCAGACUCCUACGGGAGGCAGCAGUGGGGAAUAUUGGACAAUGGGCGAAAGCCUGAUCCAGCCAUGCCGCGUGUGUGAAGAAGGUCUUCGGAUUGUAAAGCACUUUAAGUUGGGAGGAAGGGCAGUAAGUUAAUACCUUGCUGUUUUGACGUUACCAACAGAAUAAGCACCGGCUAACUUCGUG